AAUAGAUACCCGGGUAGUCCACGCCGUAAACGAUGAGUGCUAGUUGUCGGCAUGCAUGCAUGUCGGUGACGCAGCUAACGCAUUAAGCACUCCGCCUGGGGAGUACGGUCGCAAGAUUAAAACUCAAAGGAAUUGACGGGGACCCGCACAAGCGGUGGAGCAUGUGGUUUAAUUCGACGCAACGCGAAGAACCUUACCUAGGCUAGAAUGUGAGGGAAUGUUGGGUAAUGCCAACAGUCCGGGAAACCGGACCCAAAACAAGGUGCUGCAUGGCUGUCGUCAGCUCGUGUCGCGAGAUGUUGGGUUAAGUCCCGCAACGUAGCGCAACCCUUAUUGAUAGUUGCUAACAUUAAGUUGAGAACUCUAUCAAGACUGCUGUUGAUAAAACGGAGGAAGGUGGGGACGAUGUCAAGUCAUCAUGGCCUUUAUGCUUAGGGCUACACACGUGCUACAAUGGUCGGUACAAAACGUCGCAAUCCCGUAAGGGGGAGCUAAUCGCAAAAACCGAUCUCAGUUCGGA
This 520-nucleotide ribosomal RNA is filed under the name uncultured bacterium. RNAcentral's name for it is "bacterial SSU rRNA". It matches the Rfam family "Bacterial small subunit ribosomal RNA", at positions 777 to 1297 of the family's 1533-position model. The record is from RNAcentral.